RNAcentral lists this long non-coding RNA (853 nucleotides) under Mytilus galloprovincialis (Mediterranean mussel). Lineage: Eukaryota; Metazoa; Mollusca; Bivalvia; Mytilida; Mytilidae. The record is from RNAcentral.
GGGGGGGGGGUACUCAAUGAUCUUCAAUUUCAUAUCUUGGCAUUGGACAAGGUCACGUUUUUCUCGGACUGUUGAUGACGUCUUUACAUUAAAUCCAUUGGAUGUUGGAUGUGUACUGCUUGAUAGCCCUAGAUGGAUGAUUUUUUUUUAUUAGUUGUUGGGGUCUUUGAACUAGCUUUCAGUAACUGUGAGUACUCUCAGAUCAGUAAUUAGUUGUUUUUUGUUGUUGGGAUAUACAAAUACCCGGCCACGUAACUGAUUUUUAUAGUUCGUUCUUAUGUCGUACUGUUACACCACUGUCCUAGAUUAAGUGGAAGGGUUGGGAUCCUGCUAACAUGUCUAACCCCACUACAUUCUAAAUGUAUGUGUCUGUCCCAAGUCAGGAGCCUGAAUUUCAGUUGUUGUAGUUUGUUGGUAUGUUACAUAUUUGUUUUUCGUUUAUUUUUUGUACAUAAAUAAGGCCGUUAAAUUUCUUGUUUGAAUUUCGGGGCCUUAUAUAGCUGACUAUGCGGUAUGGGCUCUGCUCAGUGUUGAAAACCGUUAUAGUGACCUAUAGUUGUUAUUCUUGUGUCCUUUUAUCUCUUGUGGAGAGUUGUCUUAAUGUCAAUCAUACCAUAUCUUUUUUUUAUGCAUACGUAUAUUGCCUUUUUUAACUUUUUGAUUCGAGUGUCAUUGGUGUUUUGUAGACGAAACCCGCGUCUGCUGUACAAAGUUAACGGUAUCUGGACGUUUCGUCUCCCGAGGGUAUCACCAGUCCAGUAGUCAGCACUUUGGUAUAUCAAUUAUGUGGUCAUUUUUAUUAAUUUCCUGUUACAAAACUGAAUUUUUCGAAAAACUAAGGAUUUUCUUAUCC